This 1354-nucleotide ribosomal RNA is filed under the name Lactobacillus sp. AK21. Its description in RNAcentral is "bacterial SSU rRNA". It matches the Rfam family "Bacterial small subunit ribosomal RNA", at positions 123 to 1462 of the family's 1533-position model. The record is from RNAcentral. Lineage: Bacteria; Bacillati; Bacillota; Bacilli; Lactobacillales; Lactobacillaceae.
AACCUGCCUAAAAGAAKGGGAUAACACUUGKAAACAGGUGCUAAUACCGUAUAUCUCUAAGGAUCRCAUGAUCCUUAGAUGAAAGAUGGUUCUGYUAUCGCUUUUACAUGGACCCGMGGCGUAUUAACUAGUUGGUGGGGUAACGGCCCUACCAAGGUGAUGAUACGUAGCCGAACUGAGAGGUUGAUCGGCCACAUUGGGACUGAGACACGGCCCAAACUCCUACGGGAGGCAGCAGUAGGGAAUCUUCCACAAUGGACGCAAGUCUGAUGGAGCAACGCCGCGUGAGUGAAGAAGGUCUUCGGAUCGUAAAACUCUGUUGUUAGAGAAGAACACGAGUGAGAGUAACUGUUCAUUCGAUGACGGUAUCUAACCAGCAAGUCACGGCUAACUACGUGCCAGCAGCCGCGGUAAUACGUAGGUGGCAAGCGUUGUCCGGAUUUAUUGGGCGUAAAGGGAACGCAGGCGGUCUUUUAAGUCUGAUGUGAAAGCCUUCGGCUUAACCGGAGUAGUGCAUUGGAAACUGGAAGACUUGAGUGCAGAAGAGGAGAGUGGAAMCUCCAUGUGUAGCGGUGAAAUGCGUAGAUAUAUGGAAGAACACCAGUGGCGAAAGCGGCUCUCUGGUCUGUAACUGACGCUGAGGUUCGAAAGCGUGGGUAGCAAACAGGAUUAGAUACCCUGGUAGUCCACGCCGUAAACGAUGAAUGCUAGGUGUUGGAGGGUUUCCGCCCUUCAGUGCCGCAGCUAACGCAAUAAGCAUUCCGCCUGGGGAGUACGACCGCAAGGUUGAAACUCAAAGGAAUUGACGGGGGCCCGCACAAGCGSUSCNAGCAUGUGGUUUAAUUCGAAGCAACGCGAAGAACCUUACCAGGUCUUGACAUCCUUUGACCACCUAAGAGAUUAGGNUUUCCCUUCGGGGACAAAGUGACAGGUGGUGCAUGGCUGUCGUCAGCUCGUGUCGUGAGAUGUUGGGUUAAGUCCCGCAACGAGCGCAACCCUUGUUGUCAGUUGCCAGCAUUAAGUUGGGCACUCUGGCGAGACUGCCGGUGACAAACCGGAGGAAGGUGGGGACGACGUCAAGUCAUCAUGCCCCUUAUGACCUGGGCUACACACGUGCUACAAUGGACGGUACAACGAGUCGCAAGACCGCGAGGUUUAGCUAAUCUCUUAAAGCCGUUCUCAGUUCGGAUUGUAGGCUGCAACUCGCCUACAUGAAGUCGGAAUCGCUAGUAAUCGCGAAUCAGCAUGUCGCGGUGAAUACGUUCCCGGGCCUUGUACACACCGCCCGUCACACCAUGAGAGUUUGUAACACCCAAAGCCGGUGGGGUAACCGCAAGGAGCCAGCCGUCUAAGG